Molecule: ribosomal RNA, 170 nt
Filed under: Verrucomicrobiaceae bacterium
Lineage: Bacteria; Pseudomonadati; Verrucomicrobiota; Verrucomicrobiia; Verrucomicrobiales; Verrucomicrobiaceae
Description: partial 16S ribosomal RNA
Rfam family: Bacterial small subunit ribosomal RNA
Source: RNAcentral
UUUUUGGAGAGUUUGAUUCUGGCUCAGAACGAACGCUGGCGGCGUGGAUAAGACAUGCAAGUCGAACGGGAUCAUUGAGGUAGCAAUAUCGCGAUGGUCUAGUGGCGAACGGGUGCGUAACACGUGGAUACAUUCCGGGAAGCGGGGGAUAGCCCAGGGAAACUUGGAUU